GUUGUAUGUCUUCUUCUUCUUCUUCUUCUUCUUCUUCUUCUUCUUCAGUUUCUUGUCUUGCUGUGUUCUUCUUCAAUGGAGCUUUAUGUUAUCUUCUGACUUUGUUCUCGUUUGUUUGCAUUGAACUAGAUUGAAGAAAGGCCAGUGAAGAGGCUGUGCAAAACCCAUGGCAGAAUCACAGUGAAUGGACAAUUCCCAGGUCCAACAUUGGAAGUCAGAGAUGGUGACUCCUUAGUCAUCACAGCUAUAAACAAAGCUCAGUAUAAUGUCACCCUACACUGGUAAAAUAUUGUGUACAGAAUAAACAUAUUAAUCUUUGUUUUGAUGGAAAAUUCUAGGACGUUUUCGUAUAUAAGAUGAAAAUUACUGUACCUUUAUAGUGUCACCCUACACUGGUAAAGUAUUGUGCACGGAAUAAGCAUAUUAUUCUUUGUUUUGAUGGAAAAUUCUAGGAUGCUUUCGUAUAUAAGAUGAAAAUUAUUGUACCUUGGUGAUCAGGCAUGGAAUUAGACAGCUGAGAAAUCCAUGGGCGGAUGGACCUGAAUACAUAACACAGUGCCCUAUUCUACCAGGAAGGAGCUAUACAUACAGGUUCACCAUCAUAAACCAGGAAGGUACUUUGUGGUGGCAUGCU
Molecule: long non-coding RNA, 634 nt
Filed under: Carica papaya (papaya)
Lineage: Eukaryota; Viridiplantae; Streptophyta; Magnoliopsida; Brassicales; Caricaceae
Description: long non-coding RNA (CPAP_LNC012771)
Source: RNAcentral